CACUAUGCCACAUUGAGAUUGCCCAAUCUAGUCUGAUCUCAGAAGCUAAGCAGGGCUGAGCCUUGUUAGCACUUGGAUGGGAGACUGCUGUGAAUACCAGGUGCCACAGUGG
This 112-nucleotide ribosomal RNA is filed under the name Periophthalmus magnuspinnatus. Lineage: Eukaryota; Metazoa; Chordata; Actinopteri; Gobiiformes; Gobiidae. The record is from RNAcentral.